AUGAGCAGGAUGCGGGAAACGGGGGCGCAGCCGGGACUCGGAGCUGGGCACCUCGACUGCCAGGCUCGGCAGCCGCCCGCUCCGUCUCUGAGGCAGCUCGGGAGCCUCCACCUCCCCAAAUCCCAGCAGACGUCUGCUCCAGCUCCCCCCAGCUUCCCACGGGCUCAGGCCCUCCGUCCUCGGGCCUCGGGUGGCUCCCCGAUGCCCGGACACCGUGCAGGAGGACUGCGAGGCAGGAGGGCUGAGGCUGCCCGGCGGGUGGCCAGGGCUUGGGCCCCAACACGCCAUGGCACCGCAGGCACUGACCUGGCCUCACGCCACGAUGCCGCCAUGCUGCAGGGGCGACACGGAGGCCAGAGGGGGGCGCCCCCACCCUGCAUCUGGCCCUGCACGGCACAAAGGUGGCCACAUGCAGGUGGGAUGACACAGCCUGCCUCCUGGUACCAGCUGGGACACACAGAAGAGCCUCCGCCAUCGCGCCCUGGCCUCCACAGGCAGCCUGCUGGGUCUACAGGCUGGCUUGGAACCGCCCCAGCCUGGCCAAGGAGCACACGGUCCUGCAGGCGCUGCCCCAGGCUGGCCCUGCCAUCGGGACCCUCGUGUGACCUGCCCGUGACACCCUCAGGCCUCCCGCCCCCAGGGCCCCGCUGCCCACCCACGCCCACAGCACGUGGCGCUCCUCAGGACCAUGAGCCUCAGACCCGCCCCGGAGCCCGCAGCCAGCCCCGCGGGCCCUCCUGCCGGCCCGGGCCUCUGUGGGGUGACAGGUUCCCCCGUGACGGCCGAGAGCCUCCUCUCCCUAGCUCAGACACAAACAGGGACCCAGCCCGCAGGCCAGGCGCCAGCUCCAAGACAGAACCGGAUCAGGGGUCGGGGACGCAGGCGAGCGGGAGGCAGGCCGGGGUGCUGGCUGUCCCCUCCCUCCCGAGCCCCCGUGAGCGGAGCACAUCUCACUGGAGCAGCCUUCUGUGGGCAUCCGACGCCAACCACAGAGGAAAGCACCCGCUCUCCCUGCACGGCGCCCACGCCCGGCCCGGGCCGCUUGGUGCACAGCCCCUCCUGCAAAGGGAAAGAUGA
This 1077-nucleotide long non-coding RNA is filed under the name Oryctolagus cuniculus (rabbit). RNAcentral's name for it is "lncRNA (ENSOCUG00000036907.1)". The record is from RNAcentral. Lineage: Eukaryota; Metazoa; Chordata; Mammalia; Lagomorpha; Leporidae.